This 1162-nucleotide ribosomal RNA is filed under the name Bacillus licheniformis. RNAcentral's name for it is "bacterial SSU rRNA". It matches the Rfam family "Bacterial small subunit ribosomal RNA", at positions 123 to 1270 of the family's 1533-position model. Lineage: Bacteria; Bacillati; Bacillota; Bacilli; Caryophanales; Bacillaceae. The record is from RNAcentral.
AACCUGCCUGUAAGACUGGGAUAACUCCGGGAAACCGGGGCUAAUACCGGAUGCUUGAUUGAACCGCAUGGUUCAAUCAUAAAAGGUGGCUUUUAGCUACCACUUGCAGAUGGACCCGCGGCGCAUUAGCUAGUUGGUGAGGUAACGGCUCACCAAGGCGACGAUGCGUAGCCGACCUGAGAGGGUGAUCGGCCACACUGGGACUGAGACACGGCCCAGACUCCUGCGGGAGGCAGCAGUAGGGAAUCUUCCGCAAUGGACGAAAGUCUGACGGAGCAACGCCGCGUGAGUGAUGAAGGUUUUCGGAUCGUAAAACUCUGUUGUUAGGGAAGAACAAGUACCGUUCGAAUAGGGCGGUACCUUGACGGUACCUAACCAGAAAGCCACGGCUAACUACGUGCCAGCAGCCGCGGUAAUACGUAGGUGGCAAGCGUUGUCCGGAAUUAUUGGGCGUACAGCGCGCGCAGGCGGUUUCUUAAGUCUGAUGUGAAAGCCCCCGGCUCAACCGGGGAGGGUCAUUGGAAACUGGGGAACUUGAGUGCAGAAGAGGAGAGUGGAAUUCCACGUGUAGCGGUGAAAUGCGUAGAGAUGUGGAGGAACACCAGUGGCGAAGGCGACUCUCUGGUCCGUAACUGACGCUGAGGCGCGAAAGCGUGGGGAGCGAACAGGAUUAGAUACCCUGGUAGUCCACGCCGUAAACGAUGAGUGCUAAGUGUUAGAGGGUUUCCGCCCUUUAGUGCUGCAGCAAACGCAUUAAGCACUCCGCCUGGGGAGUACGGUCGCAAGACUGAAACUCAAAGGAAUUGACGGGGGCCCGCACAAGCGGUGGAGCAUGUGGUUUAAUUCGAAGCAACGCGAAUAACCUUACCAGGUCUUGACAUCCUCUGGCAACCCUAGAGAUAGGGCUUCCCCUUCGGGGGCAGAGUGACAGGUGGUGCAUGGUUGUCGUCAGCUCGUGUCGUGAGAUGUUGGGUUAAGUCCCGCAACGAGCGCAACCCUUGAUCUUAGUUGCCAGCAUUCAGUUGGGCACUCUAAGGUGACUGCCGGUGACAAACCGGAGGAAGGUGGGGAUGACGUCAAAUCAUCAUGCCCCUUAUGACCUGGGCUACACACGUGCUACAAUGGGCAGAACAAAGGGCAGCGAAGCCGCGAGGCUAAGCCA